This 347-nucleotide ribosomal RNA is filed under the name Paenibacillus polymyxa. Its description in RNAcentral is "bacterial SSU rRNA". It matches the Rfam family "Bacterial small subunit ribosomal RNA", at positions 975 to 1320 of the family's 1533-position model. Lineage: Bacteria; Bacillati; Bacillota; Bacilli; Caryophanales; Paenibacillaceae. The record is from RNAcentral.
CAGGUCUUGACAUCCCUCUGACCGGUCUAGAGAUAGGCCUUUCCUUCGGGACAGAGGAGACAGGUGGUGCAUGGUUGUCGUCAGCUCGUGUCGUGAGAUGUUGGGUUAAGUCCCGCAACGAGCGCAACCCUUAUGCUUAGUUGCCAGCAGGUCAAGCUGGGCACUCUAAGCAGACUGCCGGUGACAAACCGGAGGAAGGUGGGGAUGACGUCAAAUCAUCAUGCCCCUUAUGACCUGGGCUACACACGUACUACAAUGGCCGGUACAACGGGAAGCGAAAUCGCGAGGUGGAGCCAAUCCUAGAAAAGCCGGUCUCAGUUCGGAUUGUAGGCUGCAACUCGCCUACA